GUGGGAUAACACAUCCCCUUCUUAAGUUUUACCAUUACAAUUUACUUUACAAGUUUGCAUCUCUCUAUUUCAGGUCAAAGGGAUUUACCCUUGCUUCCAACUUGUUGUUUGAUCAAUGUUGUAGGAUGAAAUGCAGCUUGGAUCAUGGAAAGAAGAUGCUUGAAUAAGGAAAGAAGGAAGAAGAAGACCAAAGAUGGGCACCAUUUGCAUGAUGAAGAAAAUGUGGACCAAUGCUGGACAAUUUGAGCAUUGUUUAAGUUUUGUAUUUAUAAUAAAUGGAGAGACAAAAGGUGUAACAAGAAAUAGGGUUUUCCGAUUACCUUGAGCAGCUCCUCUUUCUUACCGUUGUUACAAAACCCUCUUUUUUGAUGUAAUCCUUUUGUUCUUGAUAGAUUCUGUAAUUAAACCUAUGUUUAAUCUUAUGCCUAAUUCGUUCUC
Erigeron canadensis is the source of this 438-nucleotide long non-coding RNA. RefSeq lists it as uncharacterized. The record is from RefSeq and is a predicted model, not a curated record. The transcript is spliced from 2 exons. NCBI's taxonomy places the organism in Eukaryota, Viridiplantae, Streptophyta, Magnoliopsida, Asterales, Asteraceae.